CGGUUAAGUUAGAAAGGGCGCACGGUGGAUGCCUUGGCACUAGGAGCCGAUGAAGGACGGGACGAACACCGAUAUGCUUCGGGGAGCUGUAAGCAAGCUUUGAUCCGGAGAUUUCCGAAUGGGGAAACCCACCACUCGUAAUGGAGUGGUAUCCAUAUCUGAAUACAUAGGAUAUGAAGGCAGACCCGGGAACUGAAACAUCUAAGUACCCGGAGGAAGAAAGCAAAUGCGAUUCCCUGAGUAGCGGCGAGCGAAACGGGACCAGCCCAAACCAAGAGGCUUGCCUCUUGGGGUUGUAGAACACUCUGUACGGAGUUACAAAGGAACGAGGUAGAUGAAGAGGUCUGGAAAGGCCCGCCAUAGGAGGUAACAGCCCUGUAGUCAAAACUUCGUUCUCUCCUGAGUGGAUCCUGAGUACGGCGGAACGUGAAAUUCCGUCGGAAUCCGGGAGGACCAUCUCCCAAGGCUAAAUACUAGUGACCGAUAGUGAACCAGUACCGUGAGGGAAAGGUGAAAAGCACCCCGGAAGGGGAGUGAAAAGAUCCUGAAACCGUGUGCCUACAAGUAGUCAGAGCCCGUUAACGGGUGAUGGCGUGCCUUUGUAGAAUGAACCGGCGAGUUACGAUCCCGUGCAAGGUUAAGCAGAAGAUGCGGAGCCGCAGCGAAAGCGAGUCUGAAUAGGGCGAAUUGAGUACGUGGUCGUAGACCCGAAACCAGGUGAUCUACCCAUGUCCAGGGUGAAGUUCAGGUAACACUGAAUGGAGGCCCGAACCCACGUUGAAAAGUGCGGGGAUGAGGUGUGGUAGGGGUGAAAUGCCAAUCGAACCUGGAGAUAGCUGGUUCUCUCCGAAAUAGCUUUAGGGCUAGCCUCAAGGUAAGAGUCUCGGGUAGAGCACUGAUUGGACUGAGGCCCCUACCGGGUUACCGAAUUCAGUCAAACUCCGAAUGCCGAUGACUUAUCCUUGGGAGUCAGACUGCGAGUGAUAAGAUCCGUAGUCGAAAGGAAACAGCCCAGACCGCCAGCUAAGGUCCCAAAGUAUACGUUAAGUGGAAAGGAUGUGGAGUUGCUUAGACAACCAGGAUGUUGGCAGAAGCAGCCACCAUUUAAAGUGCGUAAUAGCUCACUGGUCGAGUGACUCUGCGCCGAAAAUGUACCGGGGCUAAACGUAUCACCGAAGCUGCGGACUGUUCUUCGAACAGUGGUAGGAGAGCGUUCUAAGGGCUGUGAAGCAAGACCGGAAGGACUUGUGGAGCUUAGAAGUGAGAAUGCCGGUAUGAGUAGCGAAAGAGGGGUGAGAAUCCCCUCCACCGAAUGCCUAAGGUUUCCUGAGGAAGGCUCGUCCGCUCAGGGUUAGUCGGGACCUAAGCCGAGGCCGAAAGGCGUAGGCGAUGGAUAACAGGUUGAUAUUCCUGUACCACCUCACCAUUUGAGCAAUGGGGGACGCAGGAGGAUAGGGUAAGCGCGGUAUUGGAUAUCCGCGUCCAAGCAGUUAGGCUGGGAAAUAGGCAAAUCCGUUUCCCGUGAAGGCUGAGCUGUGAUGGCGAGCGAAUUAUAGUAGCGAAGUUCCUGAUUCCACACUGCCAAGAAAAGCCUCUAGCGAGGUGAGAGGUGCCCGUACCGCAAACCGACACAGGUAGGCGAGAGAAUCCUAAGGUGAUCGAGAACUCUCGUUAAGGAACUCGGCAAAAUGACCCCGUAACUUCGGGAGAAGGGGUGCUCUGUUAGGGUGCAAGCCCGAGAGAGCCGCAGUGAAUAGGCCCAGGCGACUGUUUAGCAAAACACAGGUCUCUGCGAAGCCGUAAGGCGAAGUAUGAGAACUGACGCCUGCCCGGUGCUGGAAGGUUAAGAGAGCGCUUAGCGUAAGCGAAGGUGCGAAUUGAAGCCCCAGUAAACGGCGGCCGUAACUAUAACGGUCCUAAGGUAGCGAAAUUCCUUGUCGGGUAAGUUCCGACCCGCACGAAAGGCGCAACGAUCUGGGCACUGUCUCAACGAGAGACUCGGUGAAAUUAUAGUACCUGUGAAGAUGCAGGUUACCCGCGACAGGACGGAAAGACCCGUGGAGCUUUACUGCAGCCUGAUAUUGAAUGUUGGUACAGCUUGUACAGGAUAGGUAGGAGCCUUGGAAACCGGAGCGCCAGCUUCGGUGGAGGCAUCGGUGGGAUACUACCCUGGCUGUAUUGACCUUCUAACCCGCCGCCCUUAUCGGGCGGGGGAGACAGUGUCAGGUGGGCAGUUUGACUGGGGCGGUCGCCUCCCUAAAAAUCGGAGGCGCCCAAAGGUUCCCUCAGAAUGGUUGGAAAUCAUUCGCAGAGUGUAAAGGCACAAGGGAGCUUGACUGCGAGACCUACAAGUCGAGCAGGGACGAAAGUCGGGCUUAGUGAUCCGGUGGUUCCGCAUGGAAGGGCCAUCGCUCAACGGAUAAAAGCUACCCCGGGGAUAACAGGCUUAUCUCCCCCAAGAGUCCACAUCGACGGGGAGGUUUGGCACCUCGAUGUCGGCUCAUCGCAUCCUGGGGCUGUAGUCGGUCCCAAGGGUUGGGCUGUUCGCCCAUUAAAGCGGUACGCGAGCUGGGUUCAGAACGUCGUGAGACAGUUCGGUCCCUAUCCGUCGCGGGCGCAGGAAAUUUGAGAGGAGCUGUCCUUAGUACGAGAGGACCGGGAUGGACGCACCGCUGGUGUACCAGUUGUUCUGCCAAGGGCAUCGCUGGGUAGCUAUGUGCGGACGGGAUAAGUGCUGAAAGCAUCUAAGCAUGAAGCCCCCCUCAAGAUGAGAUUUCCCAUUCCGCAAGGAAGUAAGAUCCCUGAAAGAUGAUCAGGUUGAUAGGUCUGAGGUGGAAGUGUGGCGACACAUGGAGCUGACAGAUACUAAUCGAUCGAGGACUUAACCAAUUU
This 2892-nucleotide ribosomal RNA is filed under the name Bacillus velezensis. RNAcentral's name for it is "bacterial LSU rRNA". It matches the Rfam family "Bacterial large subunit ribosomal RNA". The record is from RNAcentral. Lineage: Bacteria; Bacillati; Bacillota; Bacilli; Caryophanales; Bacillaceae.